GACGAACCGUACGAACGUUAUUCGGAAUCACUGGGCUUAAAGGGUGCGUAGGCUGCGCAGCAAGUUGGGUGUGAAAUCCCUCGGCUUAACCGAGGAACUGCGCCCAAAACUGCUGUGCUCGAGGGAGAUAGAGGUGAGCGGAACUUAGGGUGGAGCGGUGAAAUGCGUUGAUAUCCUAAGGAACACCGGUGGCGAAAGCGGCUCACUGGAUCUCUUCUGACGCUGAGGCACGAAAGCUAGGUAGCGAACGGG
Molecule: ribosomal RNA, 252 nt
Filed under: uncultured bacterium
Lineage: Bacteria
Description: partial 16S ribosomal RNA
Rfam family: Bacterial small subunit ribosomal RNA
Source: RNAcentral